GUCUACAGCCAUACCAUCCUGAACGCGCCUGAUCUCGCCUGAUCUCAGAAGCUAAGCAGGGUCAGGCCUGAUUUGUACUUGGAUGGGAGAAACAAAGGCAAAUAUCAUCAGGCAAUUAUAUGAGAAAGCAGUAACCA
Molecule: ribosomal RNA, 137 nt
Filed under: Ochotona princeps (American pika)
Lineage: Eukaryota; Metazoa; Chordata; Mammalia; Lagomorpha; Ochotonidae
Source: RNAcentral